Molecule: ribosomal RNA, 336 nt
Filed under: Triticum aestivum (bread wheat)
Lineage: Eukaryota; Viridiplantae; Streptophyta; Magnoliopsida; Poales; Poaceae
Description: partial small subunit ribosomal RNA
Source: RNAcentral
AUGCUAUUCAAAAUCGAAGGAUUUACCUCCUAUGGCGACCAACUGAUUGUCGAGGAGGCCAUGCUGCUGAUUCUGAAUGGACAACCUUUUGUUGGGGAGUUCAUGAUUUGUGACAACUACCUUGAGCUUCAACCCGGUGAGAUCUACAAAUUUGAUCCGGUUAACCUGAUCUACGGCCCUCCUCGAGGACACAUGGUCUUGUUUGUGGGGUACGGGGUAAGAAAUGGUGAGUUCUAUCUGGUAUUUCUUGAUUCCAAUGGCGAAGGAUUUUGCGAGGAUGGCUUUGGACGUGUCAGCUUUGGUGACGUCUACAACAUCUUUAGCAUUCACACGUAG